UUGUGUUGUGCAUCAAAAAUAAUUUUAACAUUCUAGUUUACCGAUUGGUUUACCGUAAUAAAUUAAGAUUAGUUUUAUAGAUAUCAAUAACAACUAAAUGUGGCAGUCUUGGAAAAAACCACGAAAGACGACGAGGGAGAGCGAGGGAGUACCAAUAAUGUAACAAGCCAUAGAACAAAAGACAGUGGAAGAACAGUGGUAAGUAAUAGUACCUAGGGUGAUUGCUAUAGUAAUUGGCCUGUACAUAGCUAUUGGCCACCUUGGCUAAAAUAAAAAUAAACAAGCAUAUGUACGUUAUUAAUAGUGGAAAAGAGACACAAAUACUUUCUCUGAGCAAUACGCUGU
Long non-coding RNA from Ostrinia furnacalis (Asian corn borer), 345 nucleotides. RefSeq lists it as uncharacterized. The transcript has 2 exons. NCBI's taxonomy places the organism in Eukaryota, Metazoa, Arthropoda, Insecta, Lepidoptera, Crambidae. The record is from RefSeq and is a predicted model, not a curated record.